RNAcentral lists this long non-coding RNA (204 nucleotides) under Homo sapiens (human). RNAcentral describes it as "HSALNT0308383". The record is from RNAcentral. Lineage: Eukaryota; Metazoa; Chordata; Mammalia; Primates; Hominidae.
GCUUUCCUCCGAGAGUACUGAGACGGAGACGCCUCAGUCGGGAGAAAUCCCGGAACUCGGAGGAGUCUGCUGAACGCCGAACAAAAGGAUGUGGCCGUCGUCUCUUAAACAAAUACGCGAAUCCCAAGCCAUGCACAUUUGGAAGGCAUGUGUAUGUGUGUGAAGGAGAAAGGCCACCGCUGCCCACCGCAGCCCCACCCAGCC